This 613-nucleotide ribosomal RNA is filed under the name Oncorhynchus mykiss (rainbow trout). RNAcentral's name for it is "partial 16S ribosomal RNA". It matches the Rfam family "Bacterial large subunit ribosomal RNA", at positions 852 to 1897 of the family's 2925-position model. The record is from RNAcentral. Lineage: Eukaryota; Metazoa; Chordata; Actinopteri; Salmoniformes; Salmonidae.
GUUGCUUAGGAAAUGAAUAGAAGUUCAGCCCCCCGGCUUUCUUAGGACCUUAAGGUAAAACUAAUAUUGUCCCAAAGAAACCAGGAGAGUUAGUCAAAGGAGGUACAGCUCCUUUGAACAAGGACACAACCUUAACAGGCGGCUAAGGAUCAUAGUUACCAAGGUAACCUGUUACAGUGGGCCUAAGAGCAGCCACCUGCACAGAAAGCGUUAAAGCUCAGACAGAUACAAACCUCUUAUCCUGAUAAGAAAUCCCACCCCCCUAACCGUACUAAGCCGUUCCAUGCCCCCAUGGAAGAGAUUAUGCUAGAAUGAGUAAUAAGAGAGUACAACUCUCUCCCAGCACAUGUGUAAGUCGGACCGGACCCCCCACCGACAAAUAACGAACCCAAACCAAGAGGGAACUGUAGGCCAGAACAAACACCAAGAAAAACCUACACCAACAAAUCGUUACCCCCACACAGGAGUGCCCCAAGGGAAAGACCCAAAGGAAGAGAAGGAACUCGGCAAACACAAGCCUCGCCUGUUUACCAAAAACAUCGCCUCUUGCAAAUCAAAACAUAAGAGGUCCCGCCUGCCCUGUGACUAUUGGUUUAACGGCCGCGGUAUUUUG